This 524-nucleotide ribosomal RNA is filed under the name uncultured bacterium. RNAcentral's name for it is "partial 16S ribosomal RNA". It matches the Rfam family "Bacterial small subunit ribosomal RNA", at positions 28 to 523 of the family's 1533-position model. The record is from RNAcentral.
GACGAACGCUGGCGGCGUGCUUAACACAUGCAAGUCGAACGGACAGACAGAGAGCUUGCUCUCUUGAAGUUAGUGGCGAACGGGUGAGUAACGCGUAAUCAACCUGCCCUUCAGAGGGGGAUAACAACGGGAAACCGUUGCUAAUACCGCGUACGAUUCAUGAGCGGCAUCAUUUAUGAAUGAAAGGUGGCCUCUAUGUAUAAGCUAUCGCUGAAGGAGGGGAUUGCGUCUGAUUAGCUAGUUGGAGGGGUAACGGCCCACCAAGGCAAUGAUAAGUGGCCGGUCUGAGAGGAUGAACGGCCACAUUGGGACUGAGACACGGCCCAAACUCCUACGGGAGGCAGCAGUGGGGAAUCUUCCGCAAUGGACGAAAGUCUGACGGAGCAACGCCGCGUGAGUGAUGAAGGUCUUCGGAUUGUAAAGCUCUGUUAAUCGGGACGAAAGAGUUCUGCGUGAAUAAUGCAGAAAAGUGACGGUACCGGAAUAGAAAGCCACGGCUAACUACGUGCCAGCCGCCGCCGUAA